Molecule: ribosomal RNA, 464 nt
Filed under: uncultured bacterium
Lineage: Bacteria
Description: partial 16S ribosomal RNA
Rfam family: Bacterial small subunit ribosomal RNA
Source: RNAcentral
CUACGGGGCGCUCCAGUAGGGAAUCUUCGGCAAUGGGCGGAAGUCUGACCGAGCAACGCCGCGUGAGUGAAGAAGGUUUUCGGAUCGUAAAGCUCUGUUGUAAGAGAAGAACGAGUGUGAGAGUGGAAAGUUCACACUGUGACGGUAUCUUACCAGAAAGGGACGGCUAACUACGUGCCAGUAGCCGCGGUAAUACGUAGGUCCCGAGCGUUGUCCGGAUUUAUUGGGCGUAAAGCGAGCGCAGGCGGUUAGAUAAGUCUGAAGUUAAAGGCUGUGGCUUAACCAUAGUACGCUUUGGAAACUGUCUAACUUGAGUGCAGAAGGGGAGAGUGGAAUUCCAUGUGUAGCGGUGAAAUGCGUAGAUAUAUGGAGGAACACCGGUGGCGAAAGCGGCCCUCUGGUCUGUAACUGACGCUGAGGCUCGAAAGCGUGGGGAGCAAACAGGAUUAGAUACCCUCGUAGUC